Molecule: ribosomal RNA, 253 nt
Filed under: uncultured bacterium
Lineage: Bacteria
Description: partial 16S ribosomal RNA
Rfam family: Bacterial small subunit ribosomal RNA
Source: RNAcentral
UACAGAGGUCUCAAGCGUUGUUCGGAUUCAUUGGGCGUAAAGGGUGCGUAGGUGGCGCCGUUAGUCAGGUGUGAAAUCUCGGGGCUUAACUCCGAAACUGCAUUUGAUACUGCGGUGCUUGAGGACUGGAGAGGGGACUGGAAUUUACGGUGUAGCGGUGAAAUGCGUAGAUAUCGUAAGGAAGACCAGUGGCGAAGGCGGGUCUCUGGACAGUUCCUGACGCUGAGGCACGAAGGCCAGGGGAGCAAACGGG